RNAcentral lists this ribosomal RNA (209 nucleotides) under uncultured bacterium. RNAcentral's name for it is "partial 16S ribosomal RNA". It matches the Rfam family "Bacterial small subunit ribosomal RNA", at positions 1294 to 1500 of the family's 1533-position model. The record is from RNAcentral.
CGGAUUGCAGGCUGCAACUCGCCUGCAUGAAGCUGGAAUUGCUAGUAAUCGCGGAUCAGCAAGCCGCGGUGAAUACGUUCCCGGGCCUUGUACACACCGCCCGUCACACCAUGAGAGUCGGGAACACCCGAAGCCAGUGACCCAACCGGAAACGGAGGGAGCUGUCGAAGGUGGGACCGAUAACUGGGGUGAAGUCGUAACAAGGUAGC